Long non-coding RNA from Fundulus heteroclitus (mummichog), 797 nucleotides. RefSeq lists it as uncharacterized. The transcript has 4 exons. The record is from RefSeq and is a predicted model, not a curated record. Lineage: Eukaryota; Metazoa; Chordata; Actinopteri; Cyprinodontiformes; Fundulidae.
CUUCAGACAGGAAACUGGGUUUAAAUAGUUCUGAUGGUUUUAACUGAUCUAAAUCAUCAAAGUGUGACUCAUGCAGACAAAUAUCAUCACUGGUGUCAUUAAUAUGCAAAAUUAUGGUCAGCUUUAAACUCAUUGGUUUAGAUUCUGUUUAAUUGUUCACAGCUUCAAACUCCUCAGAACCAAACUGGCCUCUGAAAACUUCUUCAUCAACAUUUCUGUCAUCAGCUUCUCUAACAGCAACAAGAACAACAAAAACAACAGCAAGUUUUACACAAAGGCUGAGUUCCUCCUCUUCUUCCUCCUCAUCUACAACCAGCAAACAGACCAGAACACCAACUGGACCCAAAGGUCUGCUGCUUUAUGUGGUUCUGACUCUGGUCGCCAAGAUCAUCUUAUUAUCAACACCUUUGGUGAUUUUCUGCUGGAAGAGGAGACUCACUAAGAGCAAAGAUCCUGCUGCAGCAGUUCCCGGCCUCCGAGGGUCCUCCUCCAUCGUCGGCCUCUCUCAAAACAGCCCAGAGACAGAGAUAACCAGAGGAGGACUGAUCAAAUCAUCUGCUGAGGAAAUAUCUUCAGUUUAGCUCUGAGCUCAAAAGCCAGAAAAACUAAUUUAAAUGCUUCUUAAAGUUCAGCAGAAUUACUUCUUGUGGUUUUAUGCAUCACUUUGACCAGGAUUGUAGAGGCUUACUGCUACAUAUAUUAAACCAUUUUAUUAACAUGUAAAACAGUAAAUAACUGAUAGCGCUUCUUGUUUUACGCCUUUUUUAUUUUGUGCGUUCAGUUUCAGAGCUGCUUGC